This is a long non-coding RNA of Spinacia oleracea (spinach), 1270 nucleotides long. RefSeq lists it as uncharacterized. Lineage: Eukaryota; Viridiplantae; Streptophyta; Magnoliopsida; Caryophyllales; Amaranthaceae. The record is from RefSeq and is a predicted model, not a curated record. The transcript is spliced from 5 exons.
AUUAGAUUCUGUAAUCAUUACUGACUACUGAGUAGCUGAUAUUGGGAGAAAUGCAGCUGGAUGAACAAAUUGAUUUGUAAAACUGCACUCGCACAAACAGGCCAAGGACACGACCAUUACAGGUGGAUGAUGAUACAGGAAGUCUGGGUAUUAAACGCUUCGACAUUGAUAAGGAGAGAUUGAUUCCAAUCAUGGAGAGAUGCACGGAAACCGAGCGUAACAUAGCUGCUUAUGUGCUAGACGAUGACAGAGAUAUGGAUGAAUUAUUAAUUAAGAACUAAUGGAUUGAAGCGACGCGGCUUGAGUUACGCGAUUUCUAUCCCUGGACCACAAUUUCAGAAAUGGCGAUGAACUGCGUUGGCAUUAUAAUUACAGAAAUGAAUCCUUGUGUGUGGUAUAUUCCCACACACCUCAAGGACAUGAAUUAUACCAAACUGAAGGCGGAAGGUUCCAUUGGGAAAGCAGACACUUAAUUUCCAUACAAGUACCCUGUGAACCUAGAGUACUUGCCAACUGACCCAGACCUGUGCCAUACCGUAAUUUUCAGCGCACUGCGUUUACACUGUUGUUACCAGUAUUAGGUUCAUGCAAUUUAAAUUGUUUCUCUUUCUUUGCAGAUAUUAAUCCUGUGUUUUUCCGAAAAUCCAGAUCAUUGGUUCAUACUCGUUGUAAACAUGCUAGCAUGUCAGGGGUAUUUGUAUGACUCGUGUAUUGAUGAUAGACUUUCCGCUAACCGGAUGAAGAUUACAACGGGGCAGGUAUUUCAUGUGAGGACUUUUUCGAUUUGAAUUGUAAUGCACGUUCACAAAAUACAAAAAGAAAAAGAACUAAGCCCAUUAUCACAAGAAGAUAGAUCGAUUCAAACUUCUUCAAUACUUUUGGCAUGGUUCUGUAGUCAAAGCAACUUCGUCACUUUCGUGUACCCAUCGGACGGCAGCCCUUUCGGGGGUUCCUUAGGGAUGAAAGCACUCUGAUUUGAGGAGACUAUAUCAGGCAACACAAGCCUAAGCCUUGAAUUUUGAGGGCUAUUCGAUCGAUAUCUCAUUAAGAAAAAGAUGUUCCUGGUGCUGGAAAUGCCCUUUUCAAAAGUGGUUGAAGAAAGCGUAAUAGCUCACUGGUCUAGCUCCAUGGCACGACGAUUUGGCACCAGAUAUCCGGAGGUGUGGAAAGAGCGUGUAAUGCAGAUGAAAAAUUGCUCAAAUAUCUUGUCAUACAACUGGAAACAACACCCCAAGCGCAAGAGAUUCACUAGUAUGCGGGUAGACUUGCA